UGCCAGCCGCCGCGGUAAUACGGGGGGUGCAAGCGUUAUUCGGAUUUACUGGGCGUAAAGCGCGCGUAGGCGGCCGUUUAAGUCAGAUGUGAAAGCCCGGGGCUCAACCCCGGAAGUGCAUUUGAUACUAUUCGGCUUGAGUAUGGGAGAGGGAAGUGGAAUUCCUGGUGUAGAGGUGAAAUUCGUAGAUAUCAGGAGGAACACCGGUGGCGAAGGCGACUUCCUGGACCAAUACUGACGCUGAGGCGCGAAGGCGUGGGGAGCAAACAGGAUUAGAUA
Molecule: ribosomal RNA, 279 nt
Filed under: uncultured bacterium
Lineage: Bacteria
Description: partial 16S ribosomal RNA
Rfam family: Bacterial small subunit ribosomal RNA
Source: RNAcentral